This 374-nucleotide ribosomal RNA is filed under the name uncultured bacterium. RNAcentral describes it as "bacterial SSU rRNA". It matches the Rfam family "Bacterial small subunit ribosomal RNA", at positions 524 to 898 of the family's 1533-position model. The record is from RNAcentral.
UACGAAGGGGGCUAGCGUUGUUCGGAAUUACUGGGCGUAAAGGGCGCGUAGGCUGUGCUGUAAGUCAGGCGUGAAAGGUCCGGGCUCAACCUGGGAACUGCGUUUGAUACUGCGGCGCUGGAAUGCAGGAGAGGAUGGCGGAAUUCCCAGUGUAGAGGUGAAAUUCGUAGAUAUUGGGAAGAACACCGGUGGCGAAGGCGGCCAUCUGGCCUGCAAUUGACGCUGAGGCGCGAAAGCGUGGGGAGCAAACAGGAUUAGAUACCCUGGUAGUCCACGCUGUAAACGAUGAGUGCUAGACGUCGGGGAGCUUGCUCUUCGGUGUCGCCGCUAACGCAUUAAGCACUCCGCCUGGGGAGUACGGUCGCAAGAUUAAA